Molecule: ribosomal RNA, 426 nt
Filed under: Triticum aestivum (bread wheat)
Lineage: Eukaryota; Viridiplantae; Streptophyta; Magnoliopsida; Poales; Poaceae
Description: partial small subunit ribosomal RNA
Source: RNAcentral
AUGGAAAGAAAGGGGAAUGGACUAGCAAAUCCAAAGAAAAGGAGAAGAGAUUUGAAAAGGUAUUUGAGCAAAAAAGGAGAGACUGUUGAAAGAUUUCUAGCUAUUAAGCAUGUCCCAGAUACAACAUCUGCUUCUUUGAAGAAGGCAUUGUUGGAGGUUUUUGCUAAACAUGGUAUAGUUGUUGCAAGACUACAAGGGCAAGGAUAUGAUGGGGCAUCUAAUAUGAGAGGAGAAUUCAAUGGACUUCAUAAGUUAAUUCGAGAUGAGAACCCAUAUGCUUUCUAUAUCCACUGCUUUGCCCACCAACUGCAGUUGGUAGUUGUUGCCGUUUCGAGAUGCUGCAAGGGUGUUGAGGAUUUUUUUGAAUAUGUGACCAUGAUUGCCAAUUUCAGCACUUCAUUGAGUUGGCAUUGCUACUACCGGUAG